AAAUUUGGCCUGCUGUGACAGUGACCACGUUCCUCCUCCUCGCAGGCAAUGUCAAGAUCGAGCCGCUGAACUACAAGCGGCUGUCGCGAGCCACCUCCUUCCCACAGCACGUGGUGAAGGACUGCGUGCAAGAGACCAUCCUCUUGUACUCUUCCCAACUGAAGAACGGGCAGCGCCUCUCCUUCGCCUUCAAGGGCAUUGGUGUUCUGUCCUGCAAAGACGACCUCCUGUGCAUGCGGUUCUAUUCUGACUGCGUCACAGGGCUGGAGAGGAAGGCCAGCCGGAUUGCGCUGCUUCACACUAGGCUGUGGAUGCCAGGGGCAGCUGUCUCCGGUGGAGCGACCGCCGCUCAGGAGGUGCAGGCUGCUCCUGCCCACGCGUUCCCGAGGUUUCAGUUCCUGGUGAUCGGCAGACCGGCGUCCGAGGCUUUCUCCGCCUGGCACAAGAAGGUUGCAGAAAAGCACAGGGUCAGAAGAGGUACGGGAAGGGGUCCCUGCUGUCCAGAGCCCGGUUCAAACGCACUCCCCACGGGGCUGCUCUGAAGAGCUUCCUCCUUUCCCAGGUACAGAGGGAAGCCAGGCGCCUGACAAGCUGCUGCAGAGGCGGGUGAAGUAUUCCCUCCCCGCGCUGCCAAACCAGGGGCCGGGCACCAGGCAG
This 657-nucleotide long non-coding RNA is filed under the name Buteo japonicus. Its description in RNAcentral is "lncRNA (ENSBJAG00000016006.1)". The record is from RNAcentral. Lineage: Eukaryota; Metazoa; Chordata; Aves; Accipitriformes; Accipitridae.